Molecule: long non-coding RNA, 442 nt
Organism: Octopus sinensis (East Asian common octopus)
Lineage: Eukaryota; Metazoa; Mollusca; Cephalopoda; Octopoda; Octopodidae
Exons: 4
Source: RefSeq, a predicted model, not a curated record
UUUAGUACUUAACUGCAACCCUAUGACUGAUUUCCCAAUCUAUUCAUCAGGAUUUAUGAACAACAAAUUGGCUCAGACUUCUCAGACAAUUAAGAAAAUUAUUCUAAGAGUUGUCAUUCCAGACAGGAAACAGGAGAAAAUUAUAGAGAUUAUGAACAACGAUUUGUUGUGGGAUGCUAAACUGCGAAUUCUUCAAAGUGGUGAUUUGGUUGGCUUUUUUAGAUUAUUUUUAGUGUCUAAGAGAGCCAUUAAAUUAUGGGUUCUUUAUGAAUCCUAGAAAUGGCCGUUCUGGGAAAUUUCUGGACGAGUGGAGGCCUGCAUCGCACUAUUCAUUCGAAACACCACUAGACCACAUUGAAUUUAUUAAAAAACGGAGACUAUACAAAAAUUCUGGAUUAAGUGAGGUUAAAGUCAAGAAACUGCGAAGCAAAGUAAAGCCAAC